GUUGACCUCGGAUCAGGUAGGGAUACCCGCUGAACUUAAGCAUAUCAAUAAGCGGAGGAAAAGAAACCAACAGGGAUUGCCCUAGUAACGGCGAGUGAAGCGGCAACAG
RNAcentral lists this ribosomal RNA (109 nucleotides) under Pseudocercospora rigidae. RNAcentral's name for it is "partial 28S ribosomal RNA". It matches the Rfam family "Eukaryotic large subunit ribosomal RNA", at positions 1 to 107 of the family's 3401-position model. The record is from RNAcentral. Lineage: Eukaryota; Fungi; Ascomycota; Dothideomycetes; Mycosphaerellales; Mycosphaerellaceae.